This 3766-nucleotide transfer RNA is filed under the name Salmo salar (Atlantic salmon). RNAcentral's name for it is "lncRNA (ENSSSAG00000097192.1)". The stretch from base 562 to 616 matches the Rfam family "UnaL2 LINE 3' element". The record is from RNAcentral. Lineage: Eukaryota; Metazoa; Chordata; Actinopteri; Salmoniformes; Salmonidae.
CCUCACAGCAUCAGUAUCAGUGAUCUCCUUUCCAUACCGAUCCUCACAGCAUCAGUAUCAGUGUGUGUGUGUUUCCACGUCGGUGCCGUGUGACCUUUCUAAACGCGGUGAUACAAAUAGCAGGGUAAUAACGAACACACGCUGACAUUUACCCAGAAUGCUACCUGCAUUCCCCAGCUCACGGUCUGCUGUUGAAUGGGUUCAAAGAAACAUGCUAAUGUUGCUGUUUGUAGCCAGAGGAGAAUCGUGACCCACAAGAUUGACAGAAUUGGAUGGCCUGAAAAAAACAUUCAGUUAUAUACAUUUUAUAACCAAAAAAAAAAAAAAAGAGAGAGAAAAGGAAUUGAGAAGUCAACAAAAUACGUAGAAAUAUAAUAGAAGUUAAAUACUCCACAAUGUUUACCGACUGACAUUUAUGGAGGUAUACAAAAAUGUUGAAAUGGCCUUCCGUGUGGCUCAGUUGGUAGAGCAUGGUGUUUGCAACGCCAGGGUUGUGGGUUCAAUUCCCACGGGGGGGCCAAUACAAAAAAAAUAAAAAAAAUAUGCAUGUAAUGAAAUGUAUGCAUUCACUACUGUAAGUUGCUCUGGAUAAGAGUGUCUGCUAAAAUGACUAAAAUGUUAAAAUGUCCAGGACAUCCUGUGGAUGUGUCCUUGGACUGCGUUGUCAUGCCGAUAGCUGUGUACUGUAUGGACAUCCUGCUGAUUGGUCCUUGGGCUGUGUUGUCAUGCCGAUAGUUGUGUACUGUAUGGACGUCAUUGGUCAAGGACCAGGGUACAUUAUGACUGAGGCUGUGUAAAAGGUGAGAAGAUUGAUGACGAGCUAAAAGUGUUACGCUUUUCCACUUUAUACAUUUAAAAGUUUUAAAAUCGCUAGUCAGAAAAGUCCGUAUAGCCUACUCCUUUUAGACUGAACGAAGGAGGAGGGAGAACAUGAUGCUCCUUCAUUGUCUCCUGUAAGGGAAUUUCCACGUCCUAAAAGAGGUAAUGUAAUGUAAGAGGUAAUGUAAUGUAAGAGGUAAUGUAAGAGGUAAUGUCAUGUAAGAGGUAACGUAAGAGGUAAUGUGAGGGGUCAUGUAACGUAAGAGGUAAUGCAAGCGGUAAUGUAAGAGGUAAUGUAAUGUAAGGUCUCAUGUAAUGUAAGAGUUAACAUAAGAGGUAAUGUGAUGUAAGAGGUAAUGUAAUGCAAGAGGUAAUGUAAUGUAAGUGUCAACUUAAGAGGUAAUGUAAUGUAAGAGGUAAUGUAAUGUAAUGGGUAACAAUGAGUUGAAAUAUAAGAGGUAAUGUAAUGUAAGAGGUAAUGUAAGGGGUCAUGUAAUGUAAGAGGUAAUGCAAGAGAUAAUGUAAUGUAAGAGGUAAUGUAAUGUAAGUGGUCAUGUAAUGUAAGAGUUAACAUGAGAGGUAAUGUGAUGUAAGAGGUAAUGUAAUGCAAGAGGUAAUGUAAUGUAAGUGUUAACUUAAGAGGUAAUGUAAUGUAAGAGGUAAUGUAAGGGGUCAUGUAAUGUAAGAGGUAAUGCAAGAGGUAAUGUAAGAGUUAACAUAAGAGGCAAUGUGAUGUAAGAGGUAAUGUGAUGUAAAAGGUAAUGCAAGAGGUAAUAUAAUGCAAGAGGUAAUGUAAUGCAAGAGGUAAUGUAAGAGGUAAUGUAAUGUAAGGGGUCAUGUAAUGUAAUUUAAAUGGUAACGAUGAGUUGAAAUAUAAGAGGUAAUGUAAUGUAAGAGGUAAUAUAAGAGGUAAUAUAAGAGGUAAUGUAAGAGGUAAUGUAAUAUAAGAGGUAAUAUAAGAGGUAAUGUAAUGUAAGAGGUAAUAUAACAGGUAAUGUAAUGUAAGUGGUAAUAUAACAGGUAAUGUAAGAGGUAAUGUAAUGUAAGAGGUAAUAUAAGAUGUAAUAUAAUAUAAGAGGUAAUGUAAUGUAAGAGGUAAUAUAAGAGGUAAUGUAAUGUAAGAGGUAAUGUAAUGUAAGAGGUAAUGUAAGAGGUAACGUAAUGUAAGAGGUAAUGUAAUGUAAGAGGUAAUGUAAUGUAAGAGGUAAUGUAAUGUAAGAGGUAAUAUAAGAGGUAAUGUAAUGUAAGAGGUAAUAUAAGAGGUAAUGUAAUGUAAGAGGUAAUGUAAUGUAAGAGGUAAUAUAAGAGGUAAUGUAAUGUAAGAGGUAAUGUAAUGUAAGAGGUAACGUAAUGUAAGAGGUAAUGUAUUGUGUGACAACCCUCCCACUCUGUCUGCCAUAUUCUCUCUUUCCAAACUUUUGGAACGGUAGCGUGAGUAUUCAGACUCUUUGCUAUGAGACUCGAAAUUGAGCUCAGGUGCAUCCUGUUUCCAUUGAUCAUCCUUGAGAUGUUUCUACAACUUGAUUGGAGUCUAAAUUAAAUUGAUUGGACAUGAUUUGGAAAGGCACACACCUGUUGACAGUGCAUGUCAGAGCAAAAACCAAGCCAUGAGGUCAAAGGAAUUGUCCGUAGAGCUCUGAGACAGGAUUGUGUCGAGGCACAGAUCUGGGUGAAGGAUAGCAAAACAUUUCUGCAGCAUUUAAGGUCCCCAAGAACACAGUGGCCUCCAUCAUUCUUAAAUAGAAGAAGUUUGGAACCACCAAGACUCUUCCUAGAGCUGGCCGCCCGGCCAAACUGAGCAAUCGGGGGAGAAGGGCCUUGGUCAGGGAGGUGACCAAGAACCCGAUGACCACUCUGACAGAGCUCCAGAGUUCCUCUGUGGAGAUGGGAGAACCUUCCAGAAGAACAACCAUCUCUGUAGCACUCGACCAAUCAGGCCUUUAUGGUAGAGUGGCCAGACAGAAGCCACUCCUCAGUAAAAGGCACAUGACAGCCCGCUUGGAGUUUGCCAAAAAGCCACCUAAAGAACUCUCAGACCAGGAGAAACAAGAUUCUCUGGUCUGAUGAAACCAAGAUUGAACUCUUUGGCCUAAAUUCCAAAUGUCACGUCUGGAGAAAACCUGGCACCAAAAACUCUAAAAUUCCAGGAGAGUCUCUGGCCACAUGGCCCAUAGAGAGACACAGGAAAUUCUUCCAACUCAUAGAAUUGGAGAGCCAAGCGACAUUUUGUGUUCUGGAGAAGGUAUGGAAGAUUGGUGAAGAAUCCAGCUACGAACUGAUCCGCUUGGUACAAUUUUGUGAUACUCAGAAGAGACAAUAUAGCCAUAUUACCAUAAAACUGUUUAUAUAAUAGCAUCAUAAUGGUUGUAUAGAAUGUACUAAUAAGGAUAAAGCUUUUGUAAGACAUUGAGAUGCUAUGUACUGAUGUAAUGUGAUAGAAUUGUAUUUCUGUAACCAAAUCUAACUCAGUCAUAGGCACGCCCCAGGGACACAUACAGGAACAGGCGUCAUUUGACCAGUCUGUUCGAUGGGCACUAUAAAACACUCCCUGAUUUACAUUUCUCCAGACCAGGCCUACACUCCGUUGGCACAUAGGUUCUACCAUCUAAUUCCUCUACUGAAAGUGAACCAUACCAUGUGGUUAACUUUUAGACUAUUGAUACCGACAGAAUAAGAACAAGUCUUUGAUAUUAAUUAUUAGUCUGCAGCUAAGUAAAUUAUAUCAUCGAACGCGAAGACCAACGAAACCACCAUUCUAUGACGACAUUAAUGAAUGUCGCUCUGAAAGAUCCAUUCUAACCGAGAGAGAGAGAGAGAGAGAGAGAGAACGCGGACAAAACUCCCCAACAGAACUACUCUCCAACAAGAAUCAGAACGACACACUGAGCGUAAAUAUAUAUAUUGAUUGCAAUUGUUCCCGAAUGAGUGAGCCUUCAAUUGUCAAUUG